RNAcentral lists this ribosomal RNA (253 nucleotides) under uncultured bacterium. RNAcentral's name for it is "partial 16S ribosomal RNA". It matches the Rfam family "Bacterial small subunit ribosomal RNA", at positions 524 to 776 of the family's 1533-position model. The record is from RNAcentral.
UACGGAAGGUGCAAGCGUUAAUCGGAAUUACUGGGCGUAAAGCGCGUGUAGGCGGCCCUGCAAGUCGGAUGUGAAAUCCCACGGCUCAACCGUGGAAGUGCAUUCGAAACUGCAGGGCUAGAGUCCUGGAGAGGAAGGUGGAAUGCUUGGUGUAGAGGUGAAAUUCGUAGAUAUCAAGCGGAACACCGGUGGCGAAGGCGGCCUUCUGGACAGUGACUGACGCUGAGACGCGAAAGCGUGGGGAGCAAACAGG